UACGAGGGCCCCGAGCGUUAUCCGGAAUUAUUGGGCGUAAAGGGUGUGUAGGCGGCUAUGUUAGUCUUGUGUAAAAGCCUCUGGCCUAACCAGAGAUCUGCAUGGGAUACGGCAUAUGCUGAGAGGGUGCAAGAGGUGUAUGGAACUCACGGUGUAGGGGUGAAAUCCGUUGAUAUCGUGGGGAACGCCAAAAGCGAAGGCAGUACACUGGUGCAUACCUGACGCUGAAACACGAAAGCCAGGGUAGCGAAUGGG
Molecule: ribosomal RNA, 255 nt
Filed under: uncultured prokaryote
Description: partial 16S ribosomal RNA
Rfam family: Bacterial small subunit ribosomal RNA
Source: RNAcentral